UCUUCUUUAGAUCCAGUUCCACUCGAUCCCUCUAAGCCUGUUGGAGUUGCAUAGUCAAGCAUAUUUUCAAUUUCCUUUCCUUCUCCAAGCCAUCCAGCCGCACCAAUUGCUGCAGUCCUAAGGUAGCCUCUUGCAGCAAGCCAAGCUGGAGAUGAAAAGAAAGCUCUUCUCUUUCUUUAGAAGUAUGAGAAAAUGCAGUAUAACCAUCUAGUAAUAAAGCGGUAAGGACUAUCUAUUAGAGGAUAAAGUUAGCUAGUUCAAGCAAGGGUAAAAGCAGUAAUAUUGAAAUCUGGGAUAGCUGGUUCCACGGGUUCUAAAGCUCUAGAGCAAGAAAGUUUUGAAGCUAUCCAUAUGGAUCAAGGAAUAAUUAUAGUGCUAAGUCCAUCUAGUAUGAGUUCAUAGCUAGGAAGCCAAUCUAGGCUAGGAUAAGUUGAUAGGUAAUAGAUUGCGGGUUAAUCAUUGAAUCUUUCUUUUUUGAAGUGUGCCUAUUCCUCCAGCCUUUCUAUGUUCUGUGUC
This 516-nucleotide long non-coding RNA is filed under the name Gossypium barbadense (sea-island cotton). RNAcentral's name for it is "long non-coding RNA (GBAR_LNC002244)". The record is from RNAcentral. Lineage: Eukaryota; Viridiplantae; Streptophyta; Magnoliopsida; Malvales; Malvaceae.